GUGCCAGCCGCCGCGGUAAUACGAAGGGUGCAAGCGUUAAUCGGAAUUACUGGGCGUAAAGCGCGCGUAGGUGGUUCAGCAAGUUGGAUGUGAAAGCCCCGGGCUCAACCUGGGAACUGCAUCCAAAACUACUGGGCUAGAGUAUGGUAGAGGGUGGUGGAAUUUCCUGUGUAGCGGUGAAAUGCGUAGAUAUAGGAAGGAACACCAGUGGCGAAGGCGACCACCUGGACUAAUACUGACACUGAGGUGCGAAAGCGUGGGGAGCAAACAGGAUUAGAUACCCCUGUAGUCC
Molecule: ribosomal RNA, 292 nt
Filed under: uncultured bacterium
Lineage: Bacteria
Description: partial 16S ribosomal RNA
Rfam family: Bacterial small subunit ribosomal RNA
Source: RNAcentral